UACGUAGGGGCUAGCGUUAUCCGGAAUUACUGGGCGUAAAGGGUGCGUAGGUGGUUUCUUAAGUCAGAGGUGAAAGGCUACGGCUCAACCGUAGUAAGCCUUUGAAACUGGGAAACUUGAGUGCAGGAUAGGAGAGUGGAAUUCCUAGUGUAGCGGUGAAAUGCGUAGAUAUCAGGAGGAACACCGGCGGCGAAGGCGGCUUGCUGGACGGCAACUGACGUUGAGGCUCGAAAGCGUGGGGAGCAAACAGGAUUAGAUACCCUGGUAGUCCCUGAGCGGG
This 280-nucleotide ribosomal RNA is filed under the name uncultured prokaryote. RNAcentral's name for it is "partial 16S ribosomal RNA". It matches the Rfam family "Bacterial small subunit ribosomal RNA", at positions 524 to 803 of the family's 1533-position model. The record is from RNAcentral.